RNAcentral lists this ribosomal RNA (677 nucleotides) under uncultured fungus. Its description in RNAcentral is "eukaryotic LSU rRNA". The stretch from base 263 to 417 matches the Rfam family "5.8S ribosomal RNA". Lineage: Eukaryota; Fungi. The record is from RNAcentral.
CUUGGUCAUUUAGAGGAGUAAAAGUCGUAACAAGGUUUCCGUAGGUGAACCGGCGGAAGGAUCAUUAUCGAAAUUAUUGGUGAGGGUUGUAGCUGGCCUUUCGAGGCAUGUGCACGCUCGAGCCCUUAAUCCACUUUACACCUGUGCACUUAAUGUAGGUCGCCCUUAAAAAAGGUGACCUAUGUCUUAUCAUCAACCCAUCGUAUGUCUCAUAGAAUGUAAUCGAUAUCCUCGCCCUGAAAAAGCGUUGAUAAACUUAUACAACUUUCAACAACGGAUCUCUUGGCUCUCGCAUCGAUGAAGAACGCAGCGAAAUGCGACAAGUAAUGUGAAUUGCAGAUUUUCAGUGAAUCAUCGAAUCUUUGAACGCACCUUGCGCUCCUUGGUAUUCCGAGGAGCAUGCCUGUUUGAGUGUCAUUAAAUUCUCAACUCCAAGGGUUUCACGACCUUUCGGAGAUUGGACUUGGAGGUGCUGGCCGCAUAUUGGUCGGCUCCUCUCAAAUGCAUCAGCGGAAUUCAACCUUUGGCUUCCGGAUGUCAGUGUGAUAAUCAUGUUGCGCUGUCGUUUGAUCCCUCAGAGUCCGCUUAUAAUGGUCUUCGGACAAAAUCAUCAUCAAAUUUGACCUCAAAUCACGUAUGACUACCCGCUGAACUUAAUGCAUAUCAUAAGCGGAGGA